CUCUCUCUUCCCUCACGGCUUUCUCUCUCUCCCUCUCGAACCAUACGGACAAGCAUAGAACCUCCCAUUUCUUCACGGAUCGAAGGUUCUAAGGGAAUUUCAAGCUCACAGUGAGCUUAAGGAAGUCCUCACGAGCUUCGGGGUACGCCGUUGGUAGGUUUUGGACGUCGGAGGACGGAGAACGGAACGUUUCAAUUUUGGCCGGAACUCUUGAAGCUUUUUCCGGUGAAUCCCCGGCGAGUUAGGGGUCGAGGCAGGUGAUACCUAUCCCGAGGACGAGCGCAUCCAGGGAUGUCAC
Non-coding RNA from Malus domestica (apple), 298 nucleotides. Lineage: Eukaryota; Viridiplantae; Streptophyta; Magnoliopsida; Rosales; Rosaceae. The record is from RefSeq and is a predicted model, not a curated record.